AUACUUACCUGUCAGGGGAGAGACAAUGAUCAUGAAGGUUGUGCUCCCAGAAUGUGCUCCCAUUGCAUUCUGGGUGUGCUGAAGCCUACAAUGCCCCCAAAUGUGGGAUCCUUGACUGCAGAAUUUGUUGUAGUGGGAGACUGCAUUUGCAUUUUCCCC
Small nuclear RNA from Carcharodon carcharias (great white shark), 159 nucleotides. RefSeq annotates it as U1 spliceosomal RNA. The record is from RefSeq and is a predicted model, not a curated record. The transcript has a single exon. Lineage: Eukaryota; Metazoa; Chordata; Chondrichthyes; Lamniformes; Lamnidae.